CCUACGGGUGGCAGCAGUAGGGAAUUUUCGGCAAUGGGGGGAACCCUGACCGAGCAACGCCGCGUGAACGAAGAAGUUAUUCGUAAUGUAAAGCUCUUUUAACAGGGAAGAAAGAGAAAUUUGACGGUAACUGAAGAAUAAGCUCCGGCUAACUACGAGCCAGCAGCCGAGGUAAUACGUAGGGAGCGAGUGUUAUCUGGAAUGAUUGGGCGUAAAGGGUGCGUAGAUGGCAUAGUAAGUCUUGUGUAAAAAUGCUGGGCUCAACCCAGUAGGGCAAAAGAUACUGCAAAGCUAGAGUGUGACAGAGGCAAGUGGAACUACAUGUGUAGCGGUAAAAGGCGUAGAUAUAAGGAAGAACACCAGUGGCGAAGGCGGUUUGCUGGGUCGAUACUGACGUUGAGGCACGAAAGCGUGGGGAGCAAACAGGAUUAGAUACCCUUGUAGUC
This 446-nucleotide ribosomal RNA is filed under the name uncultured bacterium. RNAcentral's name for it is "partial 16S ribosomal RNA". It matches the Rfam family "Bacterial small subunit ribosomal RNA", at positions 338 to 795 of the family's 1533-position model. The record is from RNAcentral.